CCUACGGGCGGCAGCAGUGGGGAAUAUUGGACAAUGGGGGGAACCCUGAUCCAGCGACGCCGCGUGAGUGAAGAAGUAUUUCGGUAUGUAAAGCUCUAUCAGCAGGGAAGAAAAUGACGGUACCUGACUAAGAAGCCCCGACUAAUUACGUGCCAGCAGCCGCGGUAAUACGUAGGGGGCAAGCGUUAUCCGUAUUUACUGGGGGUAAAGGGAGCGUAGACGGUGCAGCAAGUCUGAGGUGAAAGGUUGGGGCCCAACCCCGGGACUGCAUUGGAAACUGUUGAACUGGAGUACAGGAGAGGUAAGGGGAGUUCCUGGUGUGGCGGUGAAGUGCGUGGAUAUUAGGAGGAACACCAGUGGCGAGGGCGGCUUACUGGACUGUAACUGACGUUGAGGCUCGAAGGCGUGGGGAGCAAACAGGAUUAGAUACCGAGUAGUC
Molecule: ribosomal RNA, 439 nt
Filed under: uncultured bacterium
Lineage: Bacteria
Description: partial 16S ribosomal RNA
Rfam family: Bacterial small subunit ribosomal RNA
Source: RNAcentral